UACGUAGGGGGCAAGCGUUAUCCGGAUUUACUGGGUGUAAAGGGAGCGUAGGCGGCUUAGUAAGUCAGAAGUGAAAGCCCGCAGCUCAACUGCGGGACUGCUUUUGAAACUGCCAAGCUAGAGUGUCGGAGAGGUAAGUGGAAUUCCUAGUGUAGCGGUGAAAUGCGUAGAUAUCACGCAGAACCCCGAUUGCGAAGGCAGCGUACCGGCGCCCAACUGACGCUGAAGCACGAAAGCGUGGGUAUCGAACAGG
This 253-nucleotide ribosomal RNA is filed under the name uncultured Eubacteriales bacterium. RNAcentral describes it as "uncultured Clostridiales bacterium partial 16S ribosomal RNA". It matches the Rfam family "Bacterial small subunit ribosomal RNA", at positions 524 to 776 of the family's 1533-position model. The record is from RNAcentral. Lineage: Bacteria; Bacillati; Bacillota; Clostridia; Eubacteriales.